Molecule: ribosomal RNA, 964 nt
Filed under: bacterium HTCC8022
Lineage: Bacteria
Description: bacterial SSU rRNA
Rfam family: Bacterial small subunit ribosomal RNA
Source: RNAcentral
GGGUGAGUAACAUGUGGGUAUCUACCCUUUGGCCUGGAAUAACACGAGGAAACUUGUGCUAAUACCGGAUAAGUCUUUACGGAGAAAGCUUUAUGCACCAUUGGAUGAGCCCGCACUUGAUUAGUUUGUUGGUAGGGUAAUGGCCUACCAAGACUAUGAUCAAUAGCUGAUUUGAGAGGAUGAUCAGCCACAUUGGGACUGAGACACGGCCCAAACUCCUACGGGAGGCAGCAGUGGGGAAUCUUGCACAAUGGAGGAAACUCUGAUGCAGCGAUGCCGCGUGAGUGAAGAAGGCCCUUGGGUUGUAAAGCUCUUUCGUCGGGGAAGAAAAUGACUGUACCCGAAUAAGAAGGUCCGGCUAACUUCGUGCCAGCAGCCGCGGUAAUACGAAGGGACCUAGCGUAGUUCGGAAUUACUGGGCUUAAAGAGUUCGUAGGUGGUUGAAAAAGUUGGUGGUGAAAUCCCAGAGCUUAACUCUGGAACUGCCAUCAAAACUUUUCAGCUAGAGUAUGAUAGAGGAAAGCAGAAUUUCUAGUGUAGAGGUGAAAUUCGUAGAUAUUAGAAAGAAUACCAACUGCGAAGGCAGCUUUCUGGAUCAUUACUGACACUGAGGAACGAAAGCAUGGGUAGCGAAGAGGAUUAGAUACCCUCGUAGUCCAUGCCGUAAACGAUGUGUGUUAGACGUUGGAAAUUUAUUUUCAGUGUCGCAGGGAAACCGAUAAACACACCGCCUGGGGAGUACGACCGCAAGGUUAAAACUCAAAUGAAUUGACGGGGACCCGCACAAGUAGUGGAGCAUGUGGUUUAAUUCGAAGAUACGCGCAGAACCUUACCAACACUUGACAUGUUCGUCGCGACUCUAAGAGAUUAGAGUUUUCGGUUCGGCCGGACGAAACACNGUGCUGCAUGGCUGUCGUCAGCUCGUGUCGUGAGAUGUUGGGUUAAGUCCCGCACGAGCGCAACC